UCCAGCAGCCAUAUCACCCUGCAACUCACACCUGGCAGCCCACUGAAGCCCAGCAGGUGUGAGCCUGGCAGUACCUGGAUGGGAGACCUACUGGGAAAAACUAAGGUUGCUGCUGGAA
Molecule: ribosomal RNA, 118 nt
Filed under: Lepisosteus oculatus (spotted gar)
Lineage: Eukaryota; Metazoa; Chordata; Actinopteri; Semionotiformes; Lepisosteidae
Source: RNAcentral